This 5193-nucleotide long non-coding RNA is filed under the name Marmota monax (woodchuck). The record is from RNAcentral. Lineage: Eukaryota; Metazoa; Chordata; Mammalia; Rodentia; Sciuridae.
CCUAGGCCCGGCCGCGCGACGCGCGUGCUCCUUCCCUGGCUCCCCGCCCUGUUUUCCCUCACCCUCCUGGGAACGUAACGCGGGGUUCGCAGCAUCUGGGCGCCUACCGGGGCGCGUCGACACAGGGUCUAGCAAGAAGAGUGACUCGGAGCUACAGUGGUAAUUCGGCGCUGAAGCCAAGUCGAAGACGCGGAGUGUACACACGGCCCUGCGGCCACUGGAGGGGAGCGCCAGGGCAGCUCUGGCAAGAGGCGGUAGGUGGGAGCGAGUCGAGGCGGCGUUUGUCUCCUUCUGCUUGCCGUAGGAAGUGGAGUGCUGGAAGCCUAAAGAGCGACUCGCCUCUUUCCCAAACCUUACAGUCGCCCCACCCCCUCCUUCGCGGCCCGUUACAGGAAUCCGGCCACCGCCACCACCGUAGGGAGUACUUGGGGGUUGUCUGUAGAGUCACGGCUGCAGUGGGCAGCCUUUGUCCAAGGGACGUUCGAUUUUCUCCUCGCCCUUAGCUUUUGUGCCGCGGAGAGGCAGUGCGCUGCUAAGAAACACCGGGGCUGUCCACGCCGGCAUCGCCGAAGUCCCUCGCCACUGUAGGUCGUUUUCCUUUGGAGAUUAUUCCAGCACAGGAGAGCGUGAGCGGAAAUUAAUGUCCGCAUGCAGUCCCUGCGCUGUGCCAAGUGCUGGACUACGUUACCUGUUUAAUUUAGCCCUUACAACACCAAAGGCAGAUCUACCGGGCAACCGGUCCCCAGUUUGAUGCAACUUAAUUUUCUCACGCUGAAUUGCAGUCUAUUUUCGUUUUGUCAGAGCCAUGCUAAGAGGUUUACAGCAGCCAUUAAUUUAAUGUAGAUAAACUAUCUAUAAACCGACAGAGUGACGUGAGUUAUAUUUAUUCCCUGCCUCUCCGUGUUUAUUAAGAUAACUUAAAAUGCCUUUGAGAUGAGUGGAAUUCAGCGUCAUUUCAUUCACACCUCCCACCACCAUAAUUAACUAGUUUACACUCCCUCACAAUCUCAUUAACCUUUUCCCCGUCUGUCUUUAGUCUUCACAUUCAUUCACCUAAUUCUACUGUUUGAUCCCGCCCAGGUUCUCUUAUUUUUUUUCCCUCCCAGGAUACACUUGAAUCACUGCAGCUCUUGGGGACCUGAAGUCUCCCCUUUCAGUACUUCCAACAUAUGACUACCAAUUGUUAGAGGAGGUGCUGCUUGACAAGGUGACUGUAAUAGCUGCCAUAAGACAGGCAUCCUAAACUAAUUCAUUUCCUAGAUAUCCAGGUACUGGAUAAAAAAAAAAAAAAAGCUUUUUUUUCCCUCUAUUCUUUAACCACUUUCAAGAACUUUCUCAUCUCAGCCUCAAAGUCUAACCAAAUUUCCCUUACCAGAAGUUUGGACUUGCUUGGAUCUGUCCCCCUUUCUUUUUUCCAGUUUAUCUUUGGUAAUGGCACUAUCUGACCUAUGGGUGCCCCACCAUUGUAUUCUGGAAACACUUAUUAACUUGUCUGAUUCACAGCUGGAAAAGAAUUUUGCCUCAGGAUGACUCAAGAAGGGUCUGCAGCAUUUGGGCGCACCCAUACCUGAUUUAGCUAAUACAUACUGAGUAUUCUUUAUCUGAAAUGCCACAACUAUAAGUGUUUCAGAUUGGGAUUUGUUUUUUUGAAUACUUGCAUUUAUAUAAUGAGCUAUUUUAGGGAGGGGACCCAAGUCUAAAUGAAGUUCAUUUAUGUUUCAUAUACACAUGAUACACAUCCUGAAGGUAAUUUUAUAUAAUAUUUUAAUAAAUGUAAAAACGGAGUUUCUUGGGAUUUUCCACUUGCAGUAUCAUGUCAGCAUUCGAAAAUUUUUGGAUUUUGAAGCCUUUCAGAUUUCCAGAUUAAGGAUGCAUCAUCUGUAUUUUUCUGCUUUGUUUUGCUUUGUUUUUUUAAGAUGGGAUCCUUAUGUUGCCCAGGCUGGUCUGGAACUCCUGAGAACCAGGGAUCCUCCUGCUUCAGAUUCCUAAGUGCUGAAAUACAGGCAUGUGCUGCCACACAUCCAACUUCAUCUGUAUGUAAAUAAGACUUUGGACUUACAGUUCAGCAACUGAAAUGCUCAACUUUUGAGGCGGUUGAUAUAGGGUAAAUAAAAUUUUCAUGUGAGAAAGACAUGAAUUUUGAGGAUAUGGAAGCAUAGCAUUAUGGAUUGAAUUGGUUUCCCUCAAAACUCAUGUUGAAAUUUUACUCUCCGAUGAAGUCAUACCCAAUCUGGUAUUUUGAUGUGACAGCCCCAAACAGACCAAUAUAAAUACCGGGAAGAAAGUUAAAAGACAACACAGAAUGGGGAAAAGUUUUGCAAGUAAUGUAUCUGCUAUUCUCCCUACAAAGUACAAAUCAAAAUUAAACUAUAAAAAGAUACCCAGGCCUGGAGGCAGACACCUGUAAUCCCAGCAGUUUGGGAGGCUGAGACAGGAGGAUCAUGAAUUCAAAGCCAGCCUCAGCAAAAGCAAGGUGCUAAGCAACUCAGUGAGACUCGUUCUUAAAAUAAAAUACAAAAUAGGGCUGGGGAUGUGACAAAGUAGUUGAGUACCCCUGAGUUCAAUCCCCAGUACCAGAAAAAAAAAAAAAAAACAAUAAAAAGACUAAUCCAUUUUAAAAAUAAGGAAUACUGGAUGCAGUGGCACUUGCCUUUAAUCCUGGUGAUUCUGGAGCCAGAGGCAAGAAGGUUACAAGUUCAAGGCCAACCUAGGCAAUGUGUAUAGAGACCCUGUCUCAAAAUAAAAUAAAAAGGACUGGGGAUAUACCUCAGUGGUAGAGUACUCCUGGUUUCAAGCCCCAGUAUGAUAAGAGAGAGAGAGAGAUUUCUCCAAAUAUAUUCAAAUUGUUAAUAAGGAUGUGAAAAGUUCCUCAACAUAGUCAUUAGGAAAAUGCAAAUCAAAACUGAAACAAGAUACCAUAUUAAACCCAUUAAGAAGGCUAAAAUUAAAAAGAAAUGUUGGUUAGAGUGUGAAGAAUUGGAGCCCUCAUAUAUUGCUACAGGCAAUGUAAAAUGAUGUAGCCAUUUUGUAAAAUCAUCUGCCAGUCCUUUGAAAAGUUAAAGUUUCCCUAUGACCCAUCAAUUCCACUUCUAAGUAUAUAGCCAAGAAAAUGGAAAACAUGUCCACACAAAAGUUUGUAUGUGAAUAUUACAGCAGCAUUAUUUAUAAUAAAUAUACAGUAGAAACUAAAUCCCUCAUGAUUUAUGAAAAAGAACCCCUAGCUUUUCAUUCAUUGCUGGCUUGCAAGAAAAUGAGGGCAUUGCCCUUAAAGUCUUAGUGGCCUAUAAACAACAAUUUUUUUCCUCACUAGAUUGGGAAUUUGUAACUGUUGGGAGUGGCAGGGGCAAGAGUUGACUGCCCUGGCAGCACUCUAGAUACAAGUCAAAUUCAAGUCACUUCCACAUGUCUCUCAUUCAAGGACCAGAGUAAAGGAGUGGUAUUUUCCUGAUGAUGAAAGAUAAGCACACUACAGAACUACUAAACUACAGAAACUGAUGUGAAUAGAAGUUCUGUGUGCUCACAUUAACAAAGCAAGUCAUAUAGUUAGGUCCAACAUAGUGGUAUAAGGAAGUAUACUCUGCCCACUCAUUCCACAGAGUAGAGGGAGAGAAGAAAAAGGGGAAGAAAAAUGACUUGGCCUUACCUUUAAGAAAACUCAACAAAAAUUGUGCACUUCACUAAUCCAUGUAUCUCAGGGUAAAAUCUUAGUGUAUACAAAAAAAGAAAAUUUAGUACAUUGUCAUUCUUUGUCUGAAGGCAGAUAAGAAAUACAGCCUCCAUUCUGGAUUGUCAUGUACCCAAGUUAAAAUUAAGAAUAUCUAUUACUACUGGCGUAGUGGCACAUGCCUGUAAUCCCAGCAGUUUGGGAGGCUGGGGAAGGAGGAUCAUGAACUCAAAGCCAGCCUCAGCAAUUUAGUGAGGGCCUGAGCAACCCAGAAAGACCCUUUCUCUAAACAAAAUAUAAAACAGGCUGGGGAUGUGGCUCAGUGGUUAAGCGCUCGUGGGCUUCAACUCCUGGCACCAAAAAAAAAAAAAAAGAAUAUUACUAAAAACCAAGGAUCAAGAAAUGGGAUACCAUCAAAUUAAAAGCUACCCAGCAAAGGAAAUGAACAUGAAGAGAGAGCCUAUAGAUGGAGAAAAUCAUGACCAGCUAUCUACUCCUUUAUUAGGGGAUUAAUAUUCAGAAUAUAUAAAGAACUCAAAAGAUAACCCAAUCAAUAAGAGAGCAAAAGAACUCAACAAACUUCUCAAAAGAAGAAACACAAAUGGCCAACAAAUACAUGAAAAAAUCUUCCAACAUCUCUAGCAGUCAGAGAGAUGCAAAUCAAAACUACACUAAGAUUUCAACUUACUCCAGUCAGAAUGAUAUUGAUCCAAAAUACAAACAAUUAUAAACUUUGGUGAGGUUGGUGGGGAAAAGAAACACUUAAACAUUAUUGGUAGGACUACAGACUUAUAAAACCACUCUGGAACGCAGUAUGGUGAUUCCUCAAAAAACUAGGAAUGGAACUACCUACCAUGUGAUCCAGCUGUCCCACUCCUUGUAUUUUCCCAGAAGAUCUAAAGUUGGCAUCAGUAGUGAUACGGCCACUUCAAUGUUUAUAGCAGCAUAAUUAACAAUAGCUAAAUUAUGGAAUCAACAAUGGAGUUCUGCUCAGUCAUAAAAGAGAAUGAAAUUAUGAUGUUUGCCAGUAAAUGGAUGGAAAUGGAGAAUAUCAUGCCAAGUGAAAUAAACCAAACUCAGAAACUCAAAGGUUAAAUGUUUUCUCUCAUGUGGAAGCUAGAGUAAAAUAAAGGAAAGAAGGAGGGAAGGAUAGUACAACAUGAAGAUAAAGGGAAGAUCAGUAAUUUAGAAGAGAGAUUGAGAGGUGGAGUGGAAGGAUGGAUAAGGGGAGGCAAUGCAGAAUGAAUUAUUUAAAAAUCAUGUGUAUGUAUGAUAUACCACAGGAAAUUUCACCUUUAUGCAUAAGUAAAAAGAACCCAUCACUUAAAUGUAUAGAUGAGUGAAAGGAAGUCUAGUAAAGUAGAAGAAGGAGAAUGGGAGAUGGGAAGGAGGACAGGAGGGAAAAGGCGAUAAUCGCGGACUGGAAUUGAAUUCCAUACAUGUAUGAAUUUGUCAGGAUGAACCCAAUUACUAUGCAUAACUAUAAAGCUCUAAUAAAAAUAAUAAUAUUAAUAAUCCCCUUAUAUUUC